This 267-nucleotide ribosomal RNA is filed under the name uncultured bacterium. Its description in RNAcentral is "partial 16S ribosomal RNA". The record is from RNAcentral.
CUGCUGCCUCCCGUAGGAGUCUGGUCCGUGUCUCAGUACCAGUGUGGGGGACCUUCCUCUCAGAACCCCUACGCAUCGUCGCCUCGGUGGGCCGUUACCCCGCCGACUAGCUAAUGCGACGCAUGGCCAUCCUAUGCCGGAGUCGCCUCCUUUGACCCCAAGAAGAUGUCUCCUAAAGGUGUUAUGCGGUAUUAGACGGAACUUUCUUCCGCUUAUCCCCCUGCAUAGGGCAGGUUCCAUACGUGUUACUCACCCGUGCGCCGGUCG